Molecule: small RNA, 154 nt
Filed under: chicken gut metagenome
Description: Clostridiales-1 RNA
Rfam family: Clostridiales-1 RNA
Source: RNAcentral
AGUGGCAAUCUCUCUUCCGCCCCGUCGUGCUUGCACGUAAGGGACGGAAGAGAGAUUGCCACGCCCUUAUAUGAGGAAGUAAUGGGGCAGGGGCCCCAUGGAUUCCGAAUAUAAGGGAGGAUUGUGGAAGCCGCAAAGCGGCGAAACAAUCCGU